CUCGUAGGUGGCCAACUAAGUCAGACGUGAAAUCCCUCGGCUUAACCGGGGAACUGCGUCUGAUACUGGAUGGCUUGAGUUCGGGAGAGGGAUGCGGAAUUCCAGGUGUAGCGGUGAAAUGCGUAGAUAUCUGGAGGAACACCGGUGGCGAAGGUGGCAUCCUGGACCGACACUGACACUGAGAAGCGAAAGCCAGGGGAGCAAACG
This 207-nucleotide ribosomal RNA is filed under the name uncultured bacterium. RNAcentral describes it as "partial 16S ribosomal RNA". It matches the Rfam family "Bacterial small subunit ribosomal RNA", at positions 568 to 774 of the family's 1533-position model. The record is from RNAcentral.